Molecule: long non-coding RNA, 308 nt
Organism: Chiloscyllium plagiosum (whitespotted bambooshark)
Lineage: Eukaryota; Metazoa; Chordata; Chondrichthyes; Orectolobiformes; Hemiscylliidae
Source: RefSeq, a predicted model, not a curated record
UGAUAGAAACACAGAAUUCAAAGCACUGGAGACACCAUCCUCACUGUUUAAAGUUUUCAACUGGUGUUUGUGGAUUAUAUAUUAUCGGUACUGAACAUGUGUACAAACAGCUUUAUCAUCAUGAUGCCUGACCACAAAAGACUGAGACAUGAUGGAAGAAGUGACAUCAAACAAAAAGAGCCAAAGGCCCUUACCAUGCCCUUGCAUCCUCCAAGCAGGCUUCUGCCAUUAGCCAAGAAAGAGAUUGUUUUGGAACAAGAAGAGAUUGAUUAACAGUUGUAUACCAGCCAUGUCAUGAUUUGGAGGUG